Non-coding RNA from Pelobates cultripes (western spadefoot toad), 227 nucleotides. Lineage: Eukaryota; Metazoa; Chordata; Amphibia; Anura; Pelobatidae. The record is from the annotation of a GenBank genome assembly.
CCAUUCAUGUGCUGCUGAACGGACCUGUCCAUGCAGGAUUCCGAUUUCCUGGGUGAGCCCCAGUGACACAGCCCUCUCACUACCUUACUUGACCUACCAGUCACUUAUCCUCUCAGGUUAACCAUUACCUACUACCAUACCACCCCCUGGUCCCCAGGCCUCUCCAGUUAUUUGUGCCCAAGUGCCCUCAUGCAUAUUCCACCGGGUGAGCCCUGAGUGUUGAUUCC